GUGAAAGGUUUCGGGGCCUCGCGAAGAGCAAGGGCGAACGGCGGGAGCCUCGCGCCCAGCGGUCGGCCGGGACGCGCCGGGCGUCUUGCAAAACGCGGGCGCAGCCGAAAGCCGAGCCCCGAACCCCCCCGCUGCUCCUUGGGGGUGCUUUUACGGGGGGGGAAAACACCCGGGCCAGGGUGGAAAAAUCCUCCUUCGUGCUUGUGCUAAUUGCACACGUUUUGGGUUUUUUUUUAGCCUGUGCAGCCAGGUUAAACGAGAGCCCGCGCUAGCUGACUUUCCGCCCCCCGCCAGGAGUUACAACCCCGUGUUUUGGUAGCUCGGCGCCGAGGCAGCGUUUCGGAAACGCGGAUGCAGCCCAGACCCGCCGCCGCUUUGGUGCAUCCCUGCAGGACAAAGAUCCUCUCGCCGCUCGCGACGUUCCUGCUUCCCGCGCCUCCUCCCAUGCAGCGAGAAACGACUCCCUUCAGGCCACUCAGCGCUGCAAGAUGCUUUUAAGACCUUCAACGGUCGCGCGCUCCAUUUUGUAAGGGGAAACGAUCUGUGCUCGGACCGCCCGGCCGCUGCCGUGAAUAACUGGGAUGUGAGGAGGGGGCAUCGGACAUGGACAUCGGACAGAUGGACGGAUGGACGGACGCGGGCUCCCACCCCAUCCGGCAGACUUCCACGUUGCUUCUCCAAAGGCCUCUUCCGAGCGGUUUUGGAGCGAACGGGCGGCCCUUCGCCCCGCGGGACGGCGCUCCCGGCCGGGGCGGCAGCGCGG
This 763-nucleotide long non-coding RNA is filed under the name Apteryx rowi (Okarito brown kiwi). RNAcentral's name for it is "lncRNA (ENSARWG00000010706.1)". The record is from RNAcentral. Lineage: Eukaryota; Metazoa; Chordata; Aves; Apterygiformes; Apterygidae.